GACGAACGCUGGCGGCGUGCCUAACACAUGCAAGUCGAACGAGAAUCUAUGGAAAGAGGCUUCGGCCAAUUGAAGUAGAGGACAGUGGCGGACGGGUGAGUAACGCGUGAGCAACCUGCCUCGGAGUGGGGGACAACAGGGGGAAACCUCUGCUAAUACCGCAUAAUGUCAUUGGGUGGCAUCACUUAAUGACCAAAGAUUUAUUGCUCUGAGAUGGGCUCGCGUCUGAUUAGGUAGUUGGUGAGGUAACGGCUCACCAAGCCUACGAUCAGUAGCCGGGUUGAGAGACUGAACGGCCACAUUGGGACUGAGAUACGGCCCAG
This 323-nucleotide ribosomal RNA is filed under the name uncultured bacterium. Its description in RNAcentral is "bacterial SSU rRNA". It matches the Rfam family "Bacterial small subunit ribosomal RNA", at positions 28 to 334 of the family's 1533-position model. The record is from RNAcentral.